GUUUUGGUGCUGGCUCAUCAGAUUGAACGCUGGCAAAUUCUUUACACAUGCAAGUCGAACGGCAGCACGGACUUCGGUCUGGUGGCAGUGGCGAACGAGUGAGUAAUGUAUCGGAACGUUGCUAAUGGCGAGGAUAACUACGCGAAAGCGUAACCUAAUACUAUACGCCCUUCGGGAAAGCGAGGGGACCUUCAGGACUCUCGCAUAUUGAAGCGACCCGAUAUCCAGUUCGGCUAGUUGGUGGGGUAACAGCUCUGGAGCGACGAUCAAUAGCUGGUUUGAAGGACGACCAGCCACUCCGGGACUGAGACACGGCCAGACUCUGCGGGAGGCGGCGAUGGGUACGGACGAUAGGGAAACCUGAUCCAGCCAUCCCGCGUGUGCGAUGAAGGCCUUCGGGUUGUAGCACUUUUGGCGGGAAAACAGCCUGGGAUAUUGCCCGUGCGGCGAUGAUGCCUGCGAGCGCACCAGCUAACUACGUGCCAGCAGCCGCCCGGUAAUACGUACGUGCAAGCGUUAAUCGGAAUUACUGGGCGUAAAAGCGUGCAUGAGCGGUUUGGAAAAAAUGUGAAAUCCCAGAGCUUAGCAGAACUUCGUGCAACUACCGAGCUAGGUGUGCUCAGAGGGUGGGUCACGUGCAAUUACUGAAAUGCACGUAAAUAUGCAGAGAACACCGAUGGCGAAGGCAGCCUCUGGGAUAACACAGCGCUUUCAUGCACGAAAGCGUGGGAGCAAACAGGAUUCGUCUCCCUGGUAGUCCGCCUAAACGAUGUCAACUGGCUGACGGGGCGGCUUCAGAGCCUUGGUAGCCUAUGCUCUGCGUGAAGUUGACCGCCCUAGAGAAUGCGAUCGCAGAUUAAAACUCAAAGGAAUUGACGGGGACCCGCACAAGCGGUGGAUGAUGUGGAUUAAUUCGAUACGCGCGAAAAACCUUACCUACCCUUGACAUGUCUGGAAUCCCGAAGAGAUUUGGAGUGCUCGCGGAGAACCGGAACACAGGUGCUGCAUGGCUGUCGUCAGCUCGUGUCGUGAGAUGUUGGGUUAAGUCCGCAACGAGCGUGACCCUUGUCAUUAGUUGCUACGAAAGAGGCACUCUGUGAGACUGCCGGUGACAAACCGGAGGAAGGUGGGGAUGACGUCAGGGCCCUCAUAAGCCCUUAUGGUAAGGAGCUUCACACGUCACAAUGGUCGGGACCGAGAGGGUCGCCAACCCGCGAGGGGAGCCAAUCCCAGAAACGAUCGUAGUCGGAUCGCAGUCUACAAGCUCGACUGCGUGAAGUCGGAGAUCGCCUGAAAGUAAUCGCGGAUCAACAUCGCGGUGAAUACGUUCCCGGGUCUUGUACACACCGCCCGUCACACCAUAGAAUUGGGUUUUACCGAUAGUUAGCCUAACCGUAGGAAGGCAGUUACCACGGUAGGAUUCAUGACGGGGUGAAGUCGUAACAAAAUUAA
Molecule: ribosomal RNA, 1452 nt
Filed under: uncultured Bordetella sp.
Lineage: Bacteria; Pseudomonadati; Pseudomonadota; Betaproteobacteria; Burkholderiales; Alcaligenaceae
Description: partial 16S-23S ribosomal RNA intergenic spacer
Rfam family: Bacterial small subunit ribosomal RNA
Source: RNAcentral